Molecule: ribosomal RNA, 259 nt
Filed under: uncultured bacterium
Lineage: Bacteria
Description: partial 16S ribosomal RNA
Rfam family: Bacterial small subunit ribosomal RNA
Source: RNAcentral
CAGGUACAGAGGGAGUGCUACCGGGCGACCGGAUGCGGAUCUCGAAAGCCUGUCCCAGUUCGGAUUGGAGUCUGCAACCCGACUCCACGAAGUUGGAUUCGCUAGUAAUCGCGCAUCAGCCAUGGCGCGGUGAAUACGUUCCCGGGCCUUGUACACACCGCCCGUCAAGCCAUGGGAGCCGGGGGCGCCUGAAGUCCGGGACCGCGAGGACCGGCCUAGGGCGAAACUGGUAACUGGGGCUAAGUCGUAACAAGGUAUC